GUGGGGAAUAUUGGGCAAUGGGGGAAACCCUGACCCAGCAACGCCGCGUGAGGGAAGAAGGUUUUCGGAUUGUAAACCUCUGUCCUUGGUGACGAAAAAAAUGACGGUAGCCAAGGAGGAAGCCCCGGCUAACUACGUGCCAGCAGCCGCGGUAAUACGUAGGGGGCAAGCGUUGUCCGGAAUGACUGGGCGUAAAGGGCGUGUAGGCGGCCGAUUAAGUCUGGAGUGAAAGUCCUGCUUUCAAGGUGGGAAUUGCUUUGGAGACUGGUUGGCUUGAGUGCGGAAGAGGUAAGUGGAAUUCCCAGUGUAGCGGUGAAAUGCGUAGAGAUUGGGAGGAACACCAGUGGCGAAGGCGACUUACUGGGCCGUAACUGACGCUGAGGCGCGAAAGCGUGGGGAGCGAACAGGAUUAGAAACCCCAGUAGUCC
This 428-nucleotide ribosomal RNA is filed under the name uncultured bacterium. RNAcentral describes it as "partial 16S ribosomal RNA". It matches the Rfam family "Bacterial small subunit ribosomal RNA", at positions 354 to 796 of the family's 1533-position model. The record is from RNAcentral.